This 253-nucleotide ribosomal RNA is filed under the name uncultured bacterium. RNAcentral describes it as "partial 16S ribosomal RNA". It matches the Rfam family "Bacterial small subunit ribosomal RNA", at positions 524 to 776 of the family's 1533-position model. The record is from RNAcentral.
UACGGGGGGGGCAAGCGUUGUUCGGAAUUACUGGGCGUAAAGGGCUCGUAGGCGGCCAACUAAGUCAGACGUGAAAUCCCCAGGCUUAACCUGGGAACUGCGUCUGAUACUGGAUGGCUUGAAUCCGGGAGAGGGAUGCAGAAUUCCAGGUGUAGCGGUGAAAUGCGUAGAUAUCUGGAGGAAUACCGGUGGCGAAGGCGGCAUCCUGGACCGGCAUUGACGCUGAGGCGCGAAGGCCAGGGGAGCGAACGGG